UGGGGAAUAUUGCACAAUCGGCGCAAGCCUGAUGCAGCCAUGCCGCGUGUAUGAAGAAGGCCUUCGGGUUGUAAAGUACUUUCAGCGGGGAGGAAGGGAGUAAAGCUAAUACCUUUGCUCAUUGACGUUACCCGCAGAAGAAGCACCGGCUAACUCCGUGCCAGCAGCCGCGGUAAUACGGAGGGUGCAAGCGUUAAUCGGAAUUACUGGGCGUAAAGCGCACGCAGGCGGUUUGUUAAGUCAGAUGUGAAAUCCCCGGGCUCAACCUGGGAACUGCAUCUGAUACUGGCAAGCUUGAGUCUCGUAGAGGGGGGUAGAAUUCCAGGUGUAGCGGUGAAAUGCGUAGAGAUCUGGGGGAAUACCGGUAGCGGAGACGGCCCCCUGGACGAAGACUGACGCUAAGGUGCGAAAGCGUGGGGAGCAAACAGG
Molecule: ribosomal RNA, 429 nt
Filed under: Chloroflexota bacterium
Lineage: Bacteria; Bacillati; Chloroflexota
Description: Chloroflexi bacterium partial 16S ribosomal RNA
Rfam family: Bacterial small subunit ribosomal RNA
Source: RNAcentral